Molecule: ribosomal RNA, 489 nt
Filed under: Staphylococcus pasteuri
Lineage: Bacteria; Bacillati; Bacillota; Bacilli; Caryophanales; Staphylococcaceae
Description: bacterial SSU rRNA
Rfam family: Bacterial small subunit ribosomal RNA
Source: RNAcentral
GAGUAACACGUGGAUAACCUACCUAUAAGACUGGGAUAACUUCGGGAAACCGGAGCUAAUACCGGAUAAGAUUUUGAACCGCAUGGUUCAAUAGUGAAAGACGGCCUUGCUGUCACUUAUAGAUGGAUCCGCGCCGUAUUAGCUAGUUGGUAAGGUAACGGCUUACCAAGGCAACGAUACGUAGCCGACCUGAGAGGGUGAUCGGCCACACUGGAACUGAGACACGGUCCAGACUCCUACGGGAGGCAGCAGUAGGGAAUCUUCCGCAAUGGGCGAAAGCCUGACGGAGCAACGCCGCGUGAGUGAUGAAGGUCUUCGGAUCGUAAAACUCUGUUAUCAGGGAAGAACAAACGUGUAAGUAACUGUGCACGUCUUGACGGUACCUGAUCAGAAAGCCACGGCUAACUACGUGCCAGCAGCCGCGGUAAUACGUAGGUGGCAAGCGUUAUCCGGAAUUAUUGGGCGUAAAGCGCGCGUAGGCGGGUUUUU